CAAACGGUCCGGGUUAAUACCCUGGACUAAUGACGGUACCUGAAGAAUAAGCACCGGCUAACUACGUGCCAGCAGCCGCGGUAAUACGUAGGGUGCAAGCGUUAAUCGGAAUUACUGGGCGUAAAGCGUGCGCAGGCGGUUAUGCAAGACAGAUGUGAAAUCCCCGGGCUCAACCUGGGAACUGCAUUUGUGACUGCAUGACUUGAGUACGGUAGAGGGGGAUGGAAUUCCGUGUGUAGCAGUGAAAUGCGUAGAUAUGCGGAGGAACACCGAUGGCGAAGGCAAUCCCCUGGACCUGUACUGACGCUCAUGCACGAAAGCGUGGGGAGCAAACAGGAUUAGAUACCCUGGUAGUCCACGCCCUAAACGAUGUCAACUGGUUGUUGGGAGGGUUUCUUCUCAGUAACGAAGCUAACGCG
Molecule: ribosomal RNA, 419 nt
Filed under: uncultured bacterium
Lineage: Bacteria
Description: bacterial SSU rRNA
Rfam family: Bacterial small subunit ribosomal RNA
Source: RNAcentral